AUGAUCUGGCAGUGUAAGUUGUGCGCAGCUUCCUUCACCUCCAGAAUACAGUUAUUUAGACACUACAGGCUGCAGCACAGCCACUAUUCCCGAAUCAGCCCUCUUCCAUGCCUCUACACUGAUUGCAUUUGUACAUUUCAGACACUUAAUGCACUGAGUACUCAUUUGUCAAGAUAUCAUACAGCACAACUUAGCAGUUGUGCAGAGCAGAGUCAGAGGCCUGUGUUAUUUAAAUGCCCUUUAUGCACAUUUCAGCAACGCUUUUCUGAAACAGGCCUUUUCAGUCAUCUCAGAAAGCAUUUGAAAAAUCAUGAAACAGUGACAUGCCCAUAUAAGGAUUGUAGGUAUAGCACAAAUGUGUACUCUUCAUUCAAUUCCCAUAAAAGUAGAGCACACCAAGCAAGUCUUGCAACAGACUUUAAAAGUGAUAUUGUCAGUGAGGAUCCCCAUAAUCUCCAAGCCAGUAUUUCUGAAGUAGCUAGUGACUUGCAUGAAGAAUGCCCAGACCAGAGCACGGAAGUGGGGAAUGAUGAUCAGUGUGACACUGACAGUCUAAGAAAUCAACUUAAAAAAAAUGUGUCUUCCUUAUUCCUACAGAUGCAGGCUAUCCUCCAUGUCUCAAACACGGCUACUCAAGAAAUAGUAGAACACUUGAAUCAGACCUUCUCCUUAUCUGAGCCGUUGAUCAAAGAGGCAGUUAGUGACAUAUUGCAGAGAAACGGUCACAGUAUUGCAGAACCUACACUGAGUGAAGUUGUUGCCACUGUCAUGGACUGCAAUGUUCUGUCUACAUCAACCUCUAAAGGUGCUGAGUUGAGUUCAACCAAGUGCAGAAAAACCUUUACUGAGUGCAACUACCCUUGUGUAAUGCCAGUGGAGUAUCAGCUGGAUCAACCUGGACAUACCAGCAUGUAUGUUCCUAUCCUUUCAAUGAUUCAAGAGUUGUUUAAAAACACAGACAUUCUUAAGAAGAUUACUGAACCAAAUACUGCAUCUGGUCAAUAUGCAUCAUGCUCUGAUGGCUCUCAUUUCCUUGAAAAUGACUUACUGUCAACAGGGGAUCUCAUCCUACCACUCCAGCUAUAUAUUGAUGAGCUUGAAAUUGCCAAUCCACUUGGCACAUCACGCAAAAUUCACAAACUUUGCGCUGUAUAUUGGGUCCUCGCUAAUGUACCACCAAAAUACCGAUCAGCAUUACAUGCUAUACAGCUAGCAAUACUGGUAAACGUGACAGACCUCCGUAAGUAUGGAUAUGCAGCUGUACUUGCUCCAUUGCUGCGUGAUGUUCGUACUCUGGAACAAGACGGUGUCUUCAUUGAAAGAGUUGGCCAGAAUGUCAGAGGCACCAUCUUUUGUGUUUCUGCUGACAAUUUGGCUGCUCAUGGAUUAGGUGGCUUUGUAGAGUCAUUUAGAGCAGGCCAUGUUUGCAGAUUCUGUAUGGGCUCAAUUGAACAGUUUUAA
RNAcentral lists this long non-coding RNA (1461 nucleotides) under Oreochromis niloticus (Nile tilapia). RNAcentral describes it as "lncRNA (ENSONIG00000027375.1)". The record is from RNAcentral. Lineage: Eukaryota; Metazoa; Chordata; Actinopteri; Cichliformes; Cichlidae.